GACGAAGGUGGCAAGCGUUGUUCGGAAUCACUGGGCUUAAAGCGCACGUAGGCGGCUCAUCAAGUGUCUUGUGAAAUCCCCCGGCUCAACCGGGGACUGGCUUGGCAAACUGAUGGGCUUGAGGCAGGUAUGGGUAAGUGGAACUCUUGGUGGAGCGGUGAAAUGCGUAGAUAUCAAGAGGAACGCCGGUGGUGAAGACGACUUACUGGGCCUGUCCUGACGCUGAGGUGCGAAAGCCAGGGGAG
RNAcentral lists this ribosomal RNA (245 nucleotides) under uncultured bacterium. RNAcentral's name for it is "partial 16S ribosomal RNA". It matches the Rfam family "Bacterial small subunit ribosomal RNA", at positions 524 to 768 of the family's 1533-position model. The record is from RNAcentral.